CUCUGUGACUCCUACGGGAGGCAGCAGUGGGGAAUAUUGCACAAUGGGCGCAAGCCUGAUGCAGCCAUGCCGCGUGUGUGAAGAAGGCCUUCGGGUUGUAAAGCACUUUCAGUUGUGAGGAAGGUGGUGUCGUUAAUAGCGGCAUCAUUUGACGUUAGCAACAGAAGAAGCACCGGCUAACUCCGUGCCAGCAGCCGCGGUAAUACGGAGGGUGCGAGCGUUAAUCGGAAUUACUGGGCGUAAAGCGCAUGCAGGUGGUUUGUUAAGUCAGAUGUGAAAGCCCGGGGCUCAACCUCGGAACUGCAUUUGAAACUGGCAGACUAGAGUACUGUAGAGGGGGUAGAAUUUCAGGUGUAGCGGUGAAAAUGCGUAGAGAUCUGAAGGAAUACCAGUGGCGAAGGCGGCCCCCUGGACAAAGACUGACGCUCAGAUGCGAAAGCGUGGGGAGCAAACAGGAUUAGAUACCCCUGGUAG
Molecule: ribosomal RNA, 474 nt
Filed under: uncultured bacterium
Lineage: Bacteria
Description: bacterial SSU rRNA
Rfam family: Bacterial small subunit ribosomal RNA
Source: RNAcentral